UUUGUUUAUAAUCUUGUUAGAAAGUUUAAUGUUUAAGGUUAUUAGAAAAAUAAUUUGAAAUUAAAGUAGUUUUUAUCGAAAUAUAGUAAUAACUAUAGUUUAUAAGUACUGUAAGGGAAAGAGUAAUUAAAUUUAAAAUUUACAUAGUAAGUUUAAGUUUCUGUACCUUGGGUAUUAGGGAAAAUCAAUAUAAGUUAAGAAAUUUAAUUAUCUCGAAGCAAGAACAGUUAAUUUUAUAAAAUUCUUUUUGUAGCAUAAGAAUAUUAAAUAUAUAAUUAAAGGUGAAAUAUCAAUCGAGUCUUGGUAUAUCUAGUUUUUUUAAAUAUAAAUUUAAUUUAAGUCUUUGAUUUAAUAAAUCUAAGAUUAAAUUACAGGAGGGAGAAGCUUCUUGUAUAAAUUUAAUUAAAAAGUUUAGUAUAAGUAUUAAAAUUUGGACUAAGCUUAAAAGUAGCUAUGUUUAUAAAGUGUUUUAACUAAAUAUGAAAGUAAAAAUAUUUAUAUUUGCUUUUUGUAGUUAUAAAAAAAUUAAUUUUAACAUAACAAGUAAAAAUAUAAUGAAGUUAUUAGUAAAGUGAUAUUGUUAGAAAUAAAAAAUUGAAUAUUGAAAAUGUUUUAUUUAGCAGUAUAAGUGCUUAUAGGAAUUCGGCAAAAAUUUUUCCUGCCUGUUUAUCAAAAACAUGUCUAUUUGGAGGUAUAAAAAGUUUGACCUGCCCACUGAUAAAGUUUUUUAAAGGGCCGCGGUAUCUUGACCGUGCAAAGGUAGCAUAAUCGCUUGGUUUUUAAUUGAGAUCUUGAAUGAAUGGUUUGACAAGGAAAAAUCUGUCUUUAUGUUUAAUAAUUGAAUUUAACUUUUAAGUGAAAAGGCUUAAAUAUAUUAAGGGGACGAUAAGACCCUAUAAAACUUUAUGAAAAGUUUAUAUUAAAUUGAAGUAAAGUUAAUGAAAAAUUUAGUAUAGAGUUUUAUUUUGUUGGGGCGACAUAUAUAAAAUGUUUAGUAACUGAAUGUAAUAAAAAGCAAAUAUAGGUGAUUUAAUGGUUAAAUGAUCCUUAUUAAGGAUUAUAAGUUUAAGUUACUUUAGGGAUAACAGCGUUAUUUUUUUUGAGAGUUCUUAUCGAAAAAAGAGUUUGCGACCUCGAUGUUGAAUUAAAAUUUCUA
Molecule: ribosomal RNA, 1156 nt
Filed under: Ilyoplax dentimerosa
Lineage: Eukaryota; Metazoa; Arthropoda; Malacostraca; Decapoda; Dotillidae
Description: partial 16S ribosomal RNA
Source: RNAcentral